GGGGGGGGGGGGGGGGGGGCGGAGGGCGGGCGGGUGGGGGGGAUGGAGGAGAAGCGUGCUUCUCUGGUGUUAGCGUCGGACGGUUGAGUAACACGUGGAGAACCUAGCUAUAAGACUCGGGUUCGUUUUGGACAACGUAGCUAAUAACGGAUUGUAUUUUGGACCUCAUUGUGCACCCUCGAUAGGUGGUCUUGCUUGCCCUUCUAUAUGGAUCCGCGCUGCAUUAGCUAGUUGGUAAGGUAACGGCUUCACAAGGCAACGAUUCAUAGCCGACCUGAGAGGGUGAUAGGCCACACUGGAACUGAGACACGGUCCAGACUCAUACGGGAGGCAGCAGUAGGGAAUCUUCCGCAAUGGGCGAAAGCCUGACGGAGCAACGCCGCGUGAGUGAUGAAGGUCUUCGGAUCGUAAAACUCUGUUAUUAGGGAAGAACAUAUGUGUAAGUAACUGUGCACAUCUUGACGGUACCUAAUCAGAAAGCCACGGCUAACUACGUG
RNAcentral lists this ribosomal RNA (497 nucleotides) under uncultured bacterium. RNAcentral's name for it is "partial 16S ribosomal RNA". It matches the Rfam family "Bacterial small subunit ribosomal RNA", at positions 27 to 507 of the family's 1533-position model. The record is from RNAcentral.